UACAGAGGUGGCAAGCGUUGUUCGGAAUUACUGGGCGUAAAGGGCGCGUAGGCGGCCAUCUAAGUCAGACGUGAAAUCCCCCGGCUUAACCUGGGAACUGCGUCUGAUACUGGACGGCUUGAGUAUGGGAGAGGGAUGAAGAAUUCCAGGUGUAGCGGUGAAAUGCGUAGAUAUCUGGAGGAAUACCGGUGGCGAAGGCGGCAUCCUGGACCAUUACUGACGCUGAGGCGCGAAAGCGUGGGGAGCAAACAGG
Molecule: ribosomal RNA, 253 nt
Filed under: uncultured bacterium
Lineage: Bacteria
Description: partial 16S ribosomal RNA
Rfam family: Bacterial small subunit ribosomal RNA
Source: RNAcentral